This is a non-coding RNA of Spodoptera litura, 653 nucleotides long. The record is from RefSeq and is a predicted model, not a curated record. Lineage: Eukaryota; Metazoa; Arthropoda; Insecta; Lepidoptera; Noctuidae.
AAAAUAAUAAUAAGUAAUUAAUAAUAAAUCUCGCGAACUAAAUGCAUGCUUGACACUGACAUUUAAAUCACAGAUGUCACAUUCGCUAAUAACCUCAAGCGCACGCGACGACGCAGUAGGUACCGGUAAGCGGUAAUGGCGUCCCCGUUUAUACAAACCGGCAUCUGAAUGUGUAUUACAGUAAAAUAACGUUAUAAUGGUCUUUGUGGUGUAUGGUGUUUUUGAAAGAAAGUGCAACCAAAGCAGAGACGCCGCUGAUCAACCACCGCACCGCGCGGCGCUUUUGGAGAACAUGCUGAUAAUAUAGUGGAUUUCCUGAACCGGUACCACAUACCAGUACCGGAGCAGGACAAGAGACACAGGACACUGUGGACGGCCAAGCUAAGUCAAAAACAGAUACGCCGCGAGCACCAGGACACAGCGGACACGUGGCAACAGGCAGCGACCCGCGCCAGCGACGCCCAGCUGGAGAUCCCACCCGUGGCGGCAGGCCAGGACUCAUGUGGUAAACAACAACAAUGCCUCUUAAUGGUGGUGGGAGAUCAUUCCAGCAGCGAGUCGCCGCAAAUUUAAAACUGCCCCUGAAAGCCGCUGUCCUGUGCUGCGGUAUCUUUAGCGGAUCUACCUCAGAACGGAGACCGGAAUCAUACCGA